GAUCCAGCCAUGCCGCGUGGGUGAAGAAGGCCUUCGGGUUGUAAAGCCCUUUUGUUGGGAAAGAAAAGCAGUCGGUUAAUACCCGAUUGUUCUGACGGUACCCAAAGAAUAAGCACCGGCUAACUUCGUGCCAGCAGCCGCGGUAAUACGAAGGGUGCAAGCGUUACUCGGAAUUACUGGGCGUAAAGCGUGCGUAGGUGGUGGUUUAAGUCUGUUGUGAAAGCCCUGGGCUCAACCUGGGAAUUGCAGUGGAUACUGGAUCACUAGAGUGUGGUAGAGGGUAGCGGAAUUCCCGGUGUAGCAGUGAAAUGCGUAGAGAUCGGGAGGAACAUCCGUGGCGAAGGCGGCUACCUGGACCAACACUGACACUGAGGCACGAAAGCGUGGGGAGCAAACAGGAUUAGAUACCCUGGUAGUCCACGCCCUAAACGAUGCGAACUGGAUGUUGGGUGCAAUUUGGCACGCAGUAUCGAAGCUAACGCGUUAAGUUCGCCGCCUGGGGAGUACGGUCGCAAGACUGAAACUCAAAGGAAUUGACGGGGGCCCGCACAAGCGGUGGAGUAUGUGGUUUAAUUCGAUGCAACGCGAAAAACCUUACCUGGUCUUGACAUCCACGGAACUUUNCAGAAAUGGAUUGGUGCCUUCNGGAAACCGUGANACAGGUGCUGCAUGGCUGUCNUCCACCUCNUGUCNUGAAAUGUUGGG
This 705-nucleotide ribosomal RNA is filed under the name Xanthomonas citri pv. aurantifolii. Its description in RNAcentral is "bacterial SSU rRNA". It matches the Rfam family "Bacterial small subunit ribosomal RNA", at positions 385 to 1079 of the family's 1533-position model. Lineage: Bacteria; Pseudomonadati; Pseudomonadota; Gammaproteobacteria; Lysobacterales; Lysobacteraceae. The record is from RNAcentral.